Molecule: ribosomal RNA, 497 nt
Filed under: uncultured bacterium
Lineage: Bacteria
Description: partial 16S ribosomal RNA
Rfam family: Bacterial small subunit ribosomal RNA
Source: RNAcentral
GAUGAACGCUGGCGGCGUGCCUAAUACAUGCAAGUCGAGCGAACGGACGAGGAGCUUGCUUCUCUGAUGUUAGCGGCGGACGGGUGAGUAACACGUGGAUAACCUACCUAUAAGACUGGGAUAACUUCGGGAAACCGUAGCUAAUACCGGAUAAUAUUUUGAACCGCAUGGUUCAAUAGUGAAAGACGGUCUUGCUGUCACUUAUAGAUGGAUCCGCGCUGCAUUAGCUAGUUGGUAAGGUAACGGCUUACCAAGGCAACGAUGCAUAGCCGACCUGAGAGGGUGAUCGGCCACACUGGAACUGAGACACGGUCCAGACUCCUACGGGAGGCAGCAGUAGGGAAUCUUCCGCAAUGGGCGAAAGCCUGACGGAGCAACGCCGCGUGAGUGAUGAAGGUCUUCGGAUCGUAAAACUCUGUUAUUAGGGAAGAACAAAUGUGUAAGUAACUGCGCACAUCUUGACGGUACCUAAUCAGAAAGCCACGGCUAACUACGUG